Molecule: long non-coding RNA, 585 nt
Filed under: Vigna radiata
Lineage: Eukaryota; Viridiplantae; Streptophyta; Magnoliopsida; Fabales; Fabaceae
Description: long non-coding RNA (VRAD_LNC017820)
Source: RNAcentral
AAAUUUAUUUUUGAUAUAAAUAUCUUAUGUCUAUGUUUUUUUUAUCACAAUAAUAGAAAUCACAUUUUGGGCUAAAUGGUUAACUUGUAACUUGUAACAUCAACCAUAUAUGAAAAAAGUAAAUACUUCUCAUUUUAACUACUUUAUUCUCAAUUGAAAUUUAUCACAUUACAUACAUAAAGAUUAUAUCCCCGUCUCCCAUAUUUUGGUGGGCAUUGGGCGUGUUCAAGUGGUCGUGUCAAUAUCAUGUUAGGUACCUAUCUCCGAUAUGCUGAGGCCUGAUAAUUCCACGGUGGGUGGGCCAUGUGCACAAAUACAACCACAAUUCUGGGACAAGAGUCAGAUAUAUAAUAUUUCCCAUAUAAACAAAGAGGUCGUUUCCUUAUCUACAACUCUUCACCACCAAUUCAUCAAGUAGCAAGGUUCAAAACUCCAAAAUAAGCAGAUAACAGCUUUUAAAAACUAGACCUAAAAAAAUCAGCAUUAAAAGGAAAUUCUACAGUAAGAUGGAAUGAAAUCAUUCUCUCACAACACCAAUUUAAUAAAUUUCACCUCUGUAGCUAUAACUUCUCCUACAAUAACCCA